RNAcentral lists this ribosomal RNA (498 nucleotides) under uncultured bacterium. RNAcentral describes it as "partial 16S ribosomal RNA". It matches the Rfam family "Bacterial small subunit ribosomal RNA", at positions 28 to 523 of the family's 1533-position model. The record is from RNAcentral.
GAUGAACGCUAGCGGCAGGCCUAAUACAUGCAAGUCGAACGAUAUUAUCCAGCUUGCUGGAUAUGAAAGUGGCGCACGGGUGCGUAACGCGUAUGCAACCUACCUUAUUCAGGGGGAUAGCCCGAAGAAAUUCGGAUUAACACCGCAUAAAAUCACAGUUCAGCAUUGGACAAUGAUCAAAUAUUUAUAGGAAUAAGAUGGGCAUGCGUGUCAUUAGCUAGUUGGCGGGGUAACGGCCCACCAAGGCGACGAUGACUAGGGGAUCUGAGAGGAUGGCCCCCCACACUGGUACUGAGACACGGACCAGACUCCUACGGGAGGCAGCAGUAAGGAAUAUUGGUCAAUGGAGGGAACUCUGAACCAGCCAUGCCGCGUGCAGGAAGACGGCCCUCUGGGUUGUAAACUGCUUUUAUUCGGGAAUAAACCUAUUUACGUGUAAAUAGCUGAAUGUACCGAAGGAAUAAGGAUCGGCUAACUCCGUGCCAGCCGCCGCCGUAA